This is a non-coding RNA of Pelobates cultripes (western spadefoot toad), 100 nucleotides long. The record is from the annotation of a GenBank genome assembly. Lineage: Eukaryota; Metazoa; Chordata; Amphibia; Anura; Pelobatidae.
UUGUUAAACGUACGCGUUUCGUCUAGAAGACUUCGUCAGGGGCUCGUGGCAACAAAGUUUGUUGCCACGAGCCCCUGACGAAGUCUUCUAGACGAAACGC